Molecule: long non-coding RNA, 2062 nt
Organism: Cottoperca gobio
Lineage: Eukaryota; Metazoa; Chordata; Actinopteri; Perciformes; Bovichtidae
Product: proline-rich protein 36-like
Source: Ensembl
GGCGACGAGACGUUCAGCAGAAAUCUGAAUAAUGAUCCUGACAUCAUCGUGACACUCCUUCAGCCUGACUCAGUCUGCUCCUGAUGGAGGAGCCCCCCCAGCAGGUCCUCUUCCUGGGAACAGCCGGCUCCAGGAGCAUAAAUACAACCUCCAUCUUCAGCCCUCCAUCAGAGCUGCUUCACCCCUCCAUCUUCAGCCCUCCAUCAGAGCUGCUUCAGCCCUCCAUCAGAGCUGCUUCACCCCUCCAUCUUCACCCCUCCAUCAGAGCUGCUUCACCCCUCCAUCUUCAGCCCUCCAUCAGAGCUGCUUCAGCCCUCCAUCAGAGCUGCUUCACCCCUCCAUCUUCAGCCCUCCAUCAGAGCUGCUUCAGCCCUCCAUCAGAGCUGCUUCACCCCUCCAUCUUCACCCCUCCAUCAGAGCUGCUUCAGCCCUCCAUCAGAGCUGCUUCACCCCUCCAUCUUCACCCCUCCAUCAGAGCUGCUUCACCCCUCCAACUUCACCCCUCCAUCAGAGCUGCUUCACCCCUCCAUCUUCACCCCUCCAUCAGAGCUGCUUCACCCCUCCAACUUCACCCCUCCAUCAGAGCUGCUUCACCCCUCCAUCUUCACCCCUCCAUCUUCAGCCCUCCAUCAGAGCUGCUUCACCCCUCCAUCUUCACCCCUCCAUCAGAGCUGCUUCACCCCUCCAACUUCACCCCUCCAACUUCAGCCCUCCAUCUUCAGCCCUCCAUCAUGCAUUGUGGGUACCUGUUCUUACUGUCGCUGGCGUUGUGGGCGGAGCAUGCGGCAGGUAGGGUGUUACCAAUGGACUCAACAGACAUGCAGAGCAUCAUCGAGGACCUGCGGGAGGCGCUGCAGGAAUACAAGGCAGCGUUUAACAAUAAGGUGAGACACACACACACACACACACACACACACACACACACACACACACACGCACACACACACACACACUCCCUUCAGAAAACAUUUCACAGAGAGUUUGAAGCCACUGAGCAGGAAGUGAAGUUAUCUGCCUCAAUUACUCCGAGUGACGCAGAGACUUCAAUCGUUUGCAGGAUUCAUGUUGGAGCUUGUUGUUUAAAUACAUCUGGUCUGUUUGGAACAGUGUGACCUGAGCGGUACGACCCCGCUCUGCACAGAGACCGCCGCUCCGCUGGAACAGAGCUCCACGGUGGCCCAGAGACUGACUGAGUAUCAGGAGUGUGUGCCGCUCCAUUCUUUCUGUCCUGAUGUCAGUGUUCAUCUGGAUAAAGUCGAAAAACUGAACAUCGACCUGGUGCAACACCUGGUGAGUCUCUGUGCUCUGAUUGGCUGACUUAAAACGUGAUAGAAUUAUUGAUUAAAGAAGUCAGCUGUUUAAAAUAUAGUGUUCUCUAUACCUUUCUGAAAUAUGUGUGUGUGCGUGUUUACAGAAGGGGUUGUACCAAGAGCGCAGUAUCCCCUCCCCCACCUCGCCUUCAGUAUUAUUCAGCUCCGUACAGAAAUCCAUCCAGUGUGUUGACUGCUGGAGCCAGCAGGUGGCAGCACUGAGCAGAUAAAACACACACACACACACACAAAUAAAUAUUAUGAUUUUAAAUAAUGAUAAACUUUUAUUUUGUAAUUUUUACAAUCACUUCAGUGGACGUCCAACAGGAGGUGAUGUUUGCUCAGUGACGUAGAGAAGAAGACUAUUAUUAUUAUUUAGGGUUUUAUUUCCCAUCUUGAAAUACAUUCAAUGUUUUCCAUUUUAUUUAAUUGUCAUCUUAUUAUCUUCAUUAUUUGUCUGAUUUCCUUUAUUUUAAAGCACUUUGUGCUGCAUUUGUUUUAUAAAGGUGCUAUACAAGUGACGUGUAUUAUUAAUAUGAUUAUGAAUAUUAUCAUAAUUAUAAUACUAUUAAUAAUAUGUAAUAAUAAUAAAUAUGAGAAUUGGACGUUAAGGUGUUUAAAGAUCCUUCUUCAGGUUAUUUUUGGUUUCUUUGUAUAUUAAAAUAUAUUUUCUCUAUAAAUCUAGUUCUCAAAAUCACAACAUUUCACAUCUAUAAAUGCAGAAUUACUUUUUAAAGUCACAAUUCUAUAUA